This 108-nucleotide small RNA is filed under the name Marmota monax (woodchuck). The record is from RNAcentral. Lineage: Eukaryota; Metazoa; Chordata; Mammalia; Rodentia; Sciuridae.
GCCUGCUGUGGUGGCCCACACCUGUAAUCCCAGCAACUUGGGAGGCUGAGGCAGGAGGAUCACAUGUCCCAGGCCAGGCUCAGUAACUUUAGUGAGACCCUGUCUCAA